CCUACGGGAGGCAGCAGUGGGGAAUAUUGCACAAUGGGGGAAACCCUGAUGCAGCGACGACGCGUGAGUGAAGAAGUAUUUCGGUACGUAAAGCUCUAUCAGCAGGGAAGAAAAUGACGGUACCUGACUAAGAAGCCCCGGCUAACUACGUGCCAGCAGCCGCGGUAAUACGUAGGGGGCAAGCGUUAUCCGGAUUUACUGGGUGUAAAGGGAGCGUAGACGGCAGCGCAAGUCUGGAGUGAAAUCCCAUGGCUUAACCAUGGAACUGCUUUGGAAACUGUGCAGCUAGAGUGCAGGAGAGGUAAGCGGAAUUCCUAGUGUAGCGGGGAAAUGCGUAGAUAUUAGGAGGAACACCAGUGGCGAAGGCGGCUUACUGGACUGUAACUGACGUUGAGGCUCGAAAGCGUGGGGAGCAAACAGGAUUAGAUACCCUAGUAGUC
This 440-nucleotide ribosomal RNA is filed under the name uncultured bacterium. RNAcentral's name for it is "partial 16S ribosomal RNA". It matches the Rfam family "Bacterial small subunit ribosomal RNA", at positions 338 to 795 of the family's 1533-position model. The record is from RNAcentral.